This 394-nucleotide ribosomal RNA is filed under the name uncultured Comamonadaceae bacterium. RNAcentral's name for it is "bacterial SSU rRNA". It matches the Rfam family "Bacterial small subunit ribosomal RNA", at positions 981 to 1382 of the family's 1533-position model. Lineage: Bacteria; Pseudomonadati; Pseudomonadota; Betaproteobacteria; Burkholderiales; Comamonadaceae. The record is from RNAcentral.
UUGACAUGUCCGGAAUCCUGCAGAGAUGCGGGAGUGCCCGAAAGGGAAUCGGAACACAGGUGCUGCAUGGCUGUCGUCAGCUCGUGUCGUGAGAUGUUGGGUUAAGUCCCGCAACGAGCGCAACCCACGUUUAGUUGCUACGAAAGGGCACUCUAAUGAGACUGCCGGUGACAAACCGGAGGAAGUGGGGAUGACGUCAAGUCCUCAUGGCCCUUAUAGGUGGGGCUACACACGUCAUACAAUGGCUGGUACAAAGGGUUGCCAACCCGCGAGGGGGAGCCAAUCCCAUAAAGCCAGUCGUAGUCCGGAUCGCAGUCUGCAACUCGACUGCGUGAAGUCGGAAUCGCUAGUAAUCGUGGAUCAGCAUGUCACGGUGAAUACGUUCCCGGGUCUU